GUUACCUACUGCGUGUCAAAGCUUUGGCUGGUCAGCAGAGCCCUUGGUGCCCUUCUCAAAAGUAUUUAAGAGCAGCAGCUGCUGGGGGUGGUGGAUACAUGAAGGGUGACACUGCUGAGGAGGAGGAGGUGGCUGGAGGUGCAUUCCUGGGAGGAGGCACAUUAUACCAUAGAAUAAUUUGGAGCCCUCUAACAGACACACAAAUGACUGCACCCGUCUCUGUAGUUUUUAGUUAUCUGAAUGGGGUGGAUGUUCAUAGAAAGGCCUUCACGAAGUUCUGAAAACCAUGGAGUAAUCUAGAAAAUACUAUACCAACACCCUGUUUUAUAGAACCCUGGGCAAUGGUAAGUAUUUCUUUGCCCUAGGUACUACAUCCAUAGCAAAUAAGCUAUUGAAGCAAGAGUUUCCUUCUGGAAAGCUCUAAAGACAGGGACUGAUCUGUGUAUUCUCAAAGUUUAUAAUCUCAGGGAAUGCAAGUCUUUUGAAUGCUUUGACAUUUACCUUGCCAAAACAAGCUGAGAAAUAUCACUCUAAAAAUAGGCCUGUCUUUUGAAUCUAUAUAUGCUUUAGGUAAGGCAUUCCUAAAGCUUAAAACAAUGAAUAUGUAACAAAAAUUCUCCUGCAGAACCAAUCUGUAAAGAUGAAAAGGAUGUUCAUUACUCUUAUUAUUUUUUAAAUUAAUCUUUAUGCCUUUUAAGGUCAAAUCCUGACCAUAUUUUUAUCUUCUAUAUAGUGUUUUUCUUUUCUUUUCUUUUCUUUUCUUUUCUUUUCUUUUCUUUUCUUUUCUUUUCUUUUCUUUUAUUUAAUUACUUUAAUUUUCUUCUGGUCUGAAGAUCAAGGAUGAUAGGGGUUCAAUCUAUAGAACUUCUGUCUGGGAAAUCUGAAUAAAGCUGGAUCAAUUUGAAUUAGAUGCUUAUUGUAGGGAGAAAUGAAAUGACAGGUGAAAUCCAAAGAGACAAUAUUCAGAAGUAAAGAUCUCUGGCUUGUCACUUCUGAAUGCAUUUGAACUGGAACAGAAAUCUGAUGCCUUGCUUUUUUGGAAGUACCCACAGAAACAUUAAGUACCUCCCACCAGACAAGCAGAACUAAUGUUCAAUUAUUUGACCAAAACAUUUUUGCUUGGGGAUAUUCUGUCAUUCUUGUUGCCAUGACCUCAAUUCUGUGAAGAUGUGCUUGUGAUACAUGUGUUAUACAUGUUUUACAAGUUAUGAACUGUGAACUCCUCACAAAAAGGUGAAUUGAUUUGUCAGUUGAAUGACCCUAGGUAUAAAACAGAAGGCCAAAAACUACACAAGAAUUUAAGAUUGUAACUCCUUCUAGGCUCCAACACUCGCCAUGAAAUUGAUGGGAGGAUAGGAGCCUAAGUAGCUACAUACAUCAUGGCUUGUCUUUUGACCCCGGUGCCUUGUCUUUAUAGCUUCUUUUCCUUAACCUUCUCCAUGUCCCCUGGAGUCAUGAUUUACAGAUAUUGCAAGGCUCACUUUGUGACACAAGAAUAAAGGAAAGUAGUUGUUUCUGGGCUACAUUUAAUGAGAUCCUGCAUUGGUAAAAUGUGGUGCCUAACAUGUCUUGCAGUUUGUAUGGUAGGUCAAUUAGCACACUGCCUUUGAAGGUGCCCUUGGACUGGUCCUUGUGUGAACUUGGCUGUCUAUCAGAAGCAUGACUGCACAGUUUUGUUGAAAUACACUACAUCAAAAAUAUACAGCAUCUGAACUGAAUCUUGAUCAGCUAAGAGGAGUUUGUGGUAACCUCUAUACAGAGAAGUUUUCCAUUUAUUGUACUUUUCAGCUAUGACUGCAUGAGAUCUGACAAAGGACAUACUUUUUGUCAACCUGGUAAUCCAGGGUGCCUGUUUUCUAACCAGACAGGGAAUGGCUGGGUAAUUUAUUUUCUGAGAGAUGGAGAAAGAUGAAUUUUAGGAAAAGAAUAUUAGGAAGAGUCAACACAGAUUUGCUGAAUUUCCGAUGAACAUUAACAUUUGUUUUCCCAUGAGGUCUGUAUCCAUAUGUUUCACUAGUGAACAUAAACUAAAGCAAAGUACCACUUCACCUGUACAGGCUAUGUUCUUAGAUGUAAUUUCAUGAUGUGUCUGGAAUACUGAUGUCUCUUAUGUAAAGAUGUUGAAAAUAAUGAUUUAAAUAA
This is a long non-coding RNA of Cygnus atratus (black swan), 2142 nucleotides long. RefSeq lists it as uncharacterized. The transcript has 3 exons. Lineage: Eukaryota; Metazoa; Chordata; Aves; Anseriformes; Anatidae. The record is from RefSeq and is a predicted model, not a curated record.